UCUACUUCUUGUUUUAUGUUUUCGGCCAUCUAUGCAAAAAACUCUACUUCUUGUCAAAUUCUAUGGGAUAAUCUUGUCAAAAUUUCUGAUACUUGGGUGGGCCCUUGGUUGGUCGGUGGAGAUUUUAAUGACAUCUCCCAUUCUUCUGAAAAGUUUAGUGGCCGACCUAUUAAUAACACUCAUGCUUCCCGCAUGCUUCACUGCUUCAACACGUGCAACCUCAUUGACCUUGGUUUUCGUGGUAGUCGUUUUACUUGGACCAACAAACAUAACAGACAUUCGUUGAUCCUAUAACGACUUGACCGGCUCGUGGCAAAUUCUGAUUGGCCUACACUUUUCCCUGAAGCCACAGUGCAUCGUCUCCCACGUACCUUCUUCGACCAUUGCUCUCUAAAUCUCUCUCUCGACAACAAACCAUAUUCAUUCCGUAACUCUAUUUUUUGUUUCAAAAUACUAUGGUUGACUCGCCCUAAUUUUGUGGCACUAAUCCAGUGAUCCUGGAACAAUGAUGUACUGAUCGAACGUGCUCUCUCCGACUUUACAACUACCUUAGUAGUUUGGAAUAAGGUUACUUUCGAGAAUAUUUUUUGUCUAAAGAAACUUCUCCUAGCUCGCCUAACGCGACUUCAAUCUUUCAUGCACUAUCCAACCAGCUCUUUUCUGCAAAACCUUGAAAUUGACCUUAUAGCUGAGUAUAAUCAUGUGCUUCGCAUGGAAGAAGAAUUCUGGCAUUUAAAAUCUAGGAUUCAAUGGUUUCGGGAGGGAGACGCAAAUACCCAUUUCUUUCACCUUUCCACUAUCAAAUGAAGUCGUCAUAACCGCAUCACUAGCCUCCAGAUCGAUAGUGGUGAGUGGACAACUGACCCUCACCAUAUUGAACCAUUAUUUCAUCCUACUUCACCAAUCUUUGUACCACUGGCCAAGUCAAAACCACUAACUCCUAUCCCACAGCAGCUUAUAACUUCGUCUCUGAAUCGGAUAGUCUUCGACUGGAAGGCCCACUCUGGCACAUCACUAAGAGUUCUAUCAAUAAUUUCUGCGGCUCAUGCUUUGCUAAUGGGUCCAUCCCUCAAGAAAUUAAUGACACUUAUCUAUGCCUUAUCCCCUAAAGUCAAAGUCAUUCCUCUCCAUCCCAUUUCCGACCUAUGGGUUUGUGUAAGAUGAUUUAUAAACUUGUGACCAAGUGUAUAGUUAAUCGCAUUAAACCUCUCCCACUCAGCUCAUCGACCAAUCUCAAUCAGCUUUUCUACCCAAUCGUCGAGCAUCUGACAAUGCCAUAAUCGUGCAAGAAAUUCUCCAUUGCUUCCUUAAAUCUCGAUCCAGAUGCUCCAGCAUGAUCCUCAAAAUAGAUCUGGAAAAAGCUUUUGACAAACUUGAAUGGGGAUUUAUUCAUCAGACCUUACACUUCUUUCACUUACCAGAUAGACUCAUCUGGCUUAUUAUGUCGUGUGUCACUACGACCCAAAUUGGUAUUUUCCUCAAUGGCUCCAAAUUGGAAAUCUUCACACCUUCGAGAGGUAUUAGACAAGUUGACCCUCUGUCUUCUUAUCUUUUUAUCCUCUGUAUGGAAAUGAUCUCCCGUAGUAUACAUCUCGAUGUAAGUCGGGAGCUCUGGAAUCUAAUCAAACUUGCACCUCGCUCUCCCCCCAUCCCAUCUUUUCUUCGCUGAUGAUAUUAUUCUUACUAGUAACAUCAUCCUUUCCAGCUGUCAAACUAUCUGUGAUCACCUCAAUCUUUUCUUUUCAGUUUCAAGCCAAUCCAUAGAUUAUCUCAAAUCUCAAAUUUUUUUUCUCCGCAUCAGCCUCACCGACCGAUAAAGCCCUUGUCUUAAAUUCCUUCAACAUCCGCGAAGGCAGCCACUUUGGAAAAUAUCUCAGAUUUCCUAUUGCACAGGGUCGUGUUAAAAUUAGCGAUUUCUAGUUCCUUGUGGACUCCGUUCGGCUGUGCCUAGCGGUUGGAAAGCUAAACACCUGACCCUGGCAGGAUGACUCACUCUUAUCCGCACCACCUUGAAUACAAUACCGAAUCAUGUGAUGCAAUUCCAUAAUAUUUCUGUUAGCAUAAUUAACACCCUGGAACGUUGUGAGCGUCACUUCUUAUGGGGACUCUACCCAACAAAUAAAACGAUUUCACCUUCUAAAAUAGGACCAAGUUACCCAAGUCAAAGCCAAGGGAGGCUUGGGAAUCCAACGCCUACGGCCUAAAAACGAUUCCCUUCUCGUUGCUACUUCUUGGAGACUAUUCCAGAACCCACAAUCUCUCUGGUCAUCUCUCUUACUUUCUCUCUACUAUGCCUCAUCGGGUUCCCUAAGACCAACUACCCCUUCUAUAAGUUGGAAAUCUCUCCUUAAAGGAUGGAAUAUCUGCCAGCUGGGUCUUGUUUGGCAUAUCCGCACUGGAACCAAUGUCAAAUUUUGGACUGACCCUUGGAUCGGGCCAAAAAUCCACCUCCGCUCUUUUAUUUCAGGGCCUUUUAGGCCCACUGACGACGACCAGGAGACAGUCGACUCUUGCCUUCACAACCACACAUCUCUUUCCUUUGAUUUACCACCCCAGAUUCUGCACCUAAUUAUCACUCAUUACAUCUCCCAGGAUCCCAACAGUGAUAAGGGCUAUGAUCGGAUCAUUUGGGGCCUCACUUCUACAGGUAGAUCAUGUCCCUUCCAGUAACAACGAAUUCAGAACCGACUCUUGUUGUCGAGCGAGGGGUCACGGUCCCUCCUAAACAGCUCCAUGACCGGCCUAUCUACCACAUGUAAAGGAGUUCAACAUAGUAGUAGAUAGUUUAGUAAAUUUUGGCGCAUCAAUCACGGGAAGUGAUAUCACAUUUUGGUUCGAAGCUCCUCCUUUUGUACGUAAACUACUAGACAUAGAUAGAGAAAGGUUUAAUGUCAAUAGGUCUCAGCCCACUUCCCCAUUCUCCUGUCAUCCUCCGGUUUGUAAUGUAGUUCAUCAUGCACCUAAUACUUCUAACGGCUGUGUUUGUAAUAAUACCUUUGGGCACCCUAGUACUUCUAACGGCUGUGUUUGUAAUAAUACCUUUGGGCACCUCCUUGUACUGUUUUAAUACAUACUAGUGUUAAUCUUGUUUACCAAAAAAAAAAAAACAUAUAGUAAAUGCUUCAA
Molecule: long non-coding RNA, 3126 nt
Organism: Capsicum annuum
Lineage: Eukaryota; Viridiplantae; Streptophyta; Magnoliopsida; Solanales; Solanaceae
Exons: 2
Source: RefSeq, a predicted model, not a curated record